RNAcentral lists this long non-coding RNA (406 nucleotides) under Amborella trichopoda. RNAcentral's name for it is "long non-coding RNA (ATRI_LNC002471)". Lineage: Eukaryota; Viridiplantae; Streptophyta; Magnoliopsida; Amborellales; Amborellaceae. The record is from RNAcentral.
GGUGAUCCUCGUGGGGAGCAUAGCCAGGACCUGAAGAAGAAAGACCACUGAGAGGACGACUGCAAUUGCCCUCAUGAGAUUCUUUUCCAGACACAUGGUGGGUUUGGAGUGAGGAAGAAGAGUUAUGGCUGCUAUCUGUAUAAUAGAGAGAGUGAAGCCGAGGGUGGUAAAGAAAUGAAAGAUGAAAAGUGCAUAUUCAUUGGUGAUAGUUGGAGGAUGAGAAGCAUUCAUGAUGGUCAUAUUAACAACGCCCAUUGUCACUGCUACAAAAGGCGUAAGACAUCUUUUUAUGGCCACCCCAUCAUCGUUGCGGUUUGAUUGGUUUUCAGCAGGAGCAUAGUCAUCCUUUUCAGUUGCCAAAUCACCGUUGGACUUUGGCGGUGAAUGGCCGGGAGCUCGAAUUUCU